GGUUGACCUCGGAUCAGGUAGGGAUACCCGCUGAACUUAAGCAUAUCAAUAAGGCGGAGGAA
RNAcentral lists this ribosomal RNA (62 nucleotides) under Aspergillus flavus. Its description in RNAcentral is "partial 28S ribosomal RNA". Lineage: Eukaryota; Fungi; Ascomycota; Eurotiomycetes; Eurotiales; Aspergillaceae. The record is from RNAcentral. RNAcentral also lists the same sequence under 1 other name.